Molecule: ribosomal RNA, 429 nt
Filed under: Pseudomonadota bacterium
Lineage: Bacteria; Pseudomonadati; Pseudomonadota
Description: Proteobacteria bacterium partial 16S ribosomal RNA
Rfam family: Bacterial small subunit ribosomal RNA
Source: RNAcentral
UGGGGAAUAUUGGACAAUGGGCGAAAGCCUGACCCAGCCAUGCCGCGUGUGUGAAGAAGGUCUUCGUAUUGUAAAGCACUUUAAGUUGGGACGAAGGGCAGUAAGCGAAUACCUUGCUGUUUUGACGUUACCGACAGAAUAAGCACCGGCUAACUCUGUGCCAGCAGCCGCGGUAAUACAGAGGGUGCAAGCGUUAAUCGGAAUUACUUGGCGUAAAGCGCGCGUAGGUGGUUCGUUAAGUUGAAUGUGAAAGCCCCGGGCUCAACCUGGGAACUGCAACCAAGACUGGCGAGCUAGAGUAGGGCAGAGGGUGGUGGAAUUUCCUGUGUAGCGGUGAAAUGCGUAGAUAUAGGAAGGAACACCAGUGGCGAAGGCGACCACCUGGGCUCAUACUGACACUGAGGUGCGAAAGCGUGGGGAGCAAACAGG